UUAUUUGCCUCAUUUUUCAACUUCAUGAUAAAGAUCUUCAUAACUUGUUUUUGUGAAAUGUUGCUCUCUUUUGCUCUUUCUGAAAUUAUGCCUAAAGAACUGUUACUCUUCUUUUUCUUUCUGAAAUUGGCCGUAACUAUUGUUACUGAUUUGUGGAACUGUUUUCAUGCUACCUGGGUGUGAUGAAUAAAAUCUGGGUUGGUUUUCCUGUGUUUGGUAAGGUUGAAUUUGUUUAUUAUGUCUACUCUUUAAAACAAAAUAAUACACUUUAUAUGUAGUUAUAUAUAUGUGUUGACUAGGCUCACGUUGUAUUUACCUUGUGACUAUUCAAUUGUAAAGGAUGACUAGUUUUAAGGAAAGGAUCCUCUUUAAAGUUUUCCAUGGAGUAUGUGGCUCACUGGUCUUUGCUUUGUCUUAUAAUUGGAAACUUCUGGUUGGUUUCUGUGGUGGUCAGUACUCAGGAAUCUCUUAUUCAGGCGAAACCUUUCAUGCACCAUUGACAGCAUGUUUUUUCACUGGUUAUUGGGAGACCAUUCACAUUAUGUUUUUACUUUUGUUGCCAGGUCCUUAGUGCUUAAUUUCAUGAAGAGAUGAAUCUUGGAAGGAUGUUCAGAAUAAAAGGCAGUGAAACUUUUGUAACUGUCAUAUACCUGGAUUUUAUACUUAUCUGAAACCUCUAUUUUGUUGCCUGAUGUGGACGAUUAUCUGCAUGACUGCACAGCCAUAUAAAUUUUUAGUCCCAUGUUUUGUGCUUCUUGGAUCUUCAGUGCUUAAUAUCGUUCAUAAUCAUGACAUAAUGGCAUGGGUAAACUUGACCUUCGGCCAACCCGUGG
RNAcentral lists this long non-coding RNA (833 nucleotides) under Hordeum vulgare. RNAcentral describes it as "long non-coding RNA (HVUL_LNC012691)". The record is from RNAcentral. Lineage: Eukaryota; Viridiplantae; Streptophyta; Magnoliopsida; Poales; Poaceae.